UAUAUAUGUAUAUCUAAAAUGUGUCGAAAAGUUGUAAACAUAAAAUGAAAAGCCUUUGAUUUGCUCUUUGAUCAUUUCUUAUACAUAAGCAUGCAUACAUAUUUAAGUGUAUAUAUAUACAUAUAUAUAUAUAUAUAUAGAUAUAUAUGUGUAUGUGAAAACCCAUUGUGUAUAAGUGAAGCCCGCCCAAAAAGUUUGUAAGAUUCGAAAUUAUGUUGUUGAUUCAUUGUAAUCCUCUCUUGCUCUCAUCUUAUUGCCAAUUUCCUAUUUAUUAUAAGCUAUUAUUUGUUUUCACAUUCAAAUACUCUAUACAAAAACAAAUGA
Drosophila navojoa is the source of this 324-nucleotide long non-coding RNA. NCBI's taxonomy places the organism in Eukaryota, Metazoa, Arthropoda, Insecta, Diptera, Drosophilidae. The record is from RefSeq and is a predicted model, not a curated record.